UAGGGAAUCUUCGGCAAUGGGGGCAACCCUGACCGAGCAACGCCGCGUGAGUGAAGAAGGUUUUCGGAUCGUAAAGCUCUGUUGUAAGUCAAGAACGAGUGUGAGAGUGGAAAGUUCACACUGUGACGGUAGCUUACCAGAAAGGGACGGCUAACUACGUGCCAGCAGCCGCGGUAAUACGUAGGUCCCGAGCGUUGUCCGGAUUUAUUGGGCGUAAAGCGAGCGCAGGCGGUUUGAUAAGUCUGAAGUUAAAGGCUGUGGCUCAACCAUAGUUCGGUUUGGAAACUGUCAAACUUGAGUGCAGAAGGGGAGAGUGGAAUUCCAUGUGUAGCGGUGAAAUGCGUAGAUAUAUGGAGGAACACCGGUGGCGAAAGCGGCUCUCUGGUCUGUAACUGACGCUGAGGCUCGAAAGCGUGGGGAGCGAACAGG
This 429-nucleotide ribosomal RNA is filed under the name Acidobacteriota bacterium. RNAcentral's name for it is "Acidobacteria bacterium partial 16S ribosomal RNA". It matches the Rfam family "Bacterial small subunit ribosomal RNA", at positions 355 to 776 of the family's 1533-position model. Lineage: Bacteria; Pseudomonadati; Acidobacteriota. The record is from RNAcentral.